UAAGCGUUGGGGGGGGGAGGUCACCGCUCGUAUGAGUUUUUGGUUCUAGUUUGGUUGAGUCGUCUAAGAGUCUAAAUCAACAUUUUUAUUUCAAUCAAAAGUAGAUAAAGUAGUAGUCUUCUUAAGCUUCUGGGAAGACUUAGGCCUAGAUCUCUACUUUAGUGUCUUUGUGAGAAGAAGCAUGAAUAAAAUUCAAGGAUUGUGUGAGUGUUUUUAGUAUCUACCUUUGCUUGCUUGUCUUAUUUUGUCUUUGCAAAAAUUGGAUAUCAAAUCUUUGUUGUGGAGUUGAUUAAUUGAUUUGUUUAUUAAAUACCCAUGCUUCAUGAUGAUCUAGUGCUUUGGUUUUG
This 347-nucleotide long non-coding RNA is filed under the name Setaria viridis. RNAcentral describes it as "long non-coding RNA (SVIR_LNC009535)". Lineage: Eukaryota; Viridiplantae; Streptophyta; Magnoliopsida; Poales; Poaceae. The record is from RNAcentral.